UGCGAGGGUAGCCCAGACCGGUCAAAGGCGUUGGAUUUAGGGUCCAAUCCAGCAGUGGUUCGUGGGUUCGAAUCCCACCCCUCGCAU
RNAcentral lists this transfer RNA (87 nucleotides) under uncultured archaeon. RNAcentral's name for it is "tRNA-Leu(tag)". It matches the Rfam family "tRNA". Rfam says of the family: Transfer RNA (tRNA) molecules are approximately 80 nucleotides in length. Their secondary structure includes four short double-helical elements and three loops (D, anti-codon, and T loops). The record is from RNAcentral.